UCCUUCUUAGCUCAGUUGGUAGAGCGCGUCACUAGUAGUAUUACUUGUAUGACGAGGUCAGUCGUUCAAGUCGGCUAGAAGGAA
Molecule: non-coding RNA, 84 nt
Organism: Gymnopus androsaceus JB14
Lineage: Eukaryota; Fungi; Basidiomycota; Agaricomycetes; Agaricales; Omphalotaceae
Source: the annotation of a GenBank genome assembly